GAUGAACGCUGGCGGCAUGCCUAAUACAUGCAAGUCGAACGAACACACGAGGAGCUUGCUCCUCUAACGUUGGCGGCGGACGGGUGAGUAACACGUGGAUCACCUACUUAUAAGACUGGGAGAACUUCGGGGAACAGGAGCCAAUACCAAAUCACAUGACGAACCGCAUAGUUCAACGGUGCAUGAGACUUUUGCCGUCACUAAGAGCCGGAUCCGCGCCGCAUUAGCUAGUGGGUAAGGUAACGGCACACCAAGGAAACGAUGCGUAGCCGAUCUGAGAGGAUGAUCAGCCACACUGGAACUGAGACACGGUCCAGACUCCUACGGGAGGCAGCAGUGGGGAAUAUUGCGCAAUGGGCGCAAGCCUGACCGAGCAAUACCGCGUGGGUGAAGAAGGUCUUCGGGUCGUAAAACUCUGUUAUUGGGAAAGAAAAGCUGUGUAAUAAUCCACCGCCGUUCUGACGGUACCUAAUCAAUAAGCCACGGCUAACUUCGUG
RNAcentral lists this ribosomal RNA (497 nucleotides) under uncultured bacterium. Its description in RNAcentral is "partial 16S ribosomal RNA". It matches the Rfam family "Bacterial small subunit ribosomal RNA", at positions 28 to 507 of the family's 1533-position model. The record is from RNAcentral.